UGUUUCGGCUAGGGGGCCAUCCCGGCUUACCAACCCGAUGCAAACUGCGAAUACCGGAGAAUGUUAUCACGGGAGACACACGGCGGGUGCUAACGUCCGUCGUGAAGAGGGAAACAACCCAGACCGCCAGCUAAGGUCCCAAAGUCAUGGUUAAGUGGGAAACGAUGUGGGAAGGCCCAGACAGCCAGGAUGUUGGCUUAGAAGCAGCCAUCAUUUAAAGAAAGCGUAAUAGCUCACUGGUCGAGUCGGCCUGCGCGGAAGAUGUAACGGGGCUAAACCAUGCACCGAAGCUGCGGCAGCGACACUCAGGUGUUGUUGGGUAGGGGAGCGUUCUGUAAGCCUGUGAAGGUGGCCUGUGAGGGUUGCUGGAGGUAUCAGAAGUGCGAAUGCUGACAUAAGUAACGAUAAAGCGGGUGAAAAGCCCGCUCGCCGGAAGACCAAGGGUUCCUGUCCAACGUUAAUCGGGGCAGGGUGAGUCGACCCCUAAGGCGAGGCCGAAAGGCGUAGUCGAUGGGAAACGGGUUAAUAUUCCCGUACUUGGUGUUACUGCGAAGGGGGGACGGAGAAGGCUAUGUUGGCCGGGCG
RNAcentral lists this ribosomal RNA (585 nucleotides) under Salmonella enterica. RNAcentral's name for it is "partial 23S ribosomal RNA". It matches the Rfam family "Bacterial large subunit ribosomal RNA", at positions 911 to 1497 of the family's 2925-position model. Lineage: Bacteria; Pseudomonadati; Pseudomonadota; Gammaproteobacteria; Enterobacterales; Enterobacteriaceae. The record is from RNAcentral. RNAcentral also lists the same sequence under 1 other name.